GGGCCCUUAGCUCAAUCUGGUUAGAGCAGGGCGCUCAUAACGCCUUGGUUGGAGGUUCAAAUCCUCCAGGGCCCA
RNAcentral lists this transfer RNA (75 nucleotides) under Candidatus Abzuiibacterium crystallinum. RNAcentral's name for it is "Candidatus Omnitrophica bacterium CG11_big_fil_rev_8_21_14_0_20_45_26 tRNA-Met". It matches the Rfam family "tRNA". Rfam says of the family: Transfer RNA (tRNA) molecules are approximately 80 nucleotides in length. Their secondary structure includes four short double-helical elements and three loops (D, anti-codon, and T loops). RNAcentral also lists the same sequence under 1 other name. The record is from RNAcentral. Lineage: Bacteria; Pseudomonadati; Candidatus Omnitrophota.